GGAGCUGGCCGGGCAGUCGCUGCGUCGUAGGGCGUGGAGGAAAGUCCGGGCUCCACAGGGCGGGAUGCCAGGUAAUGCCUGGGCGGCGUGAGCCGACGGAAAGUGCCACAGAAAAGAUACCGCCGAAGUCGCGCCAUGCGGCUGGUAAGGGUGAAAUGGUGCGGUAAGAGCGCACCGCGCCGGUGGUAACACCGGUGGCAGGGUAAACCCCAUCCGGAGCAAGACCAAAUAGGGGGACGUCAAGCGUGGCCCACGCGUGUCCCCGGGUAGGUCGCUUGAGGUGUAUGGUGACAUGCAUCCCAGAUGAAUGACUGUCCAUGACAGAACCCGGCUUACAGGCCGGCUCCCUCU
This 351-nucleotide RNase P RNA is filed under the name Gammaproteobacteria bacterium. RNAcentral describes it as "RNase P RNA component class A". It matches the Rfam family "Bacterial RNase P class A". From Rfam's summary of the family: Ribonuclease P (RNase P) is a ubiquitous endoribonuclease, found in archaea, bacteria and eukarya as well as chloroplasts and mitochondria. Its best characterised activity is the generation of mature 5'-ends of tRNAs by cleaving the 5'-leader elements of precursor-tRNAs. Cellular RNase Ps are ribonucleoproteins. Lineage: Bacteria; Pseudomonadati; Pseudomonadota; Gammaproteobacteria. The record is from RNAcentral.